Molecule: long non-coding RNA, 388 nt
Filed under: Gorilla gorilla gorilla (western lowland gorilla)
Lineage: Eukaryota; Metazoa; Chordata; Mammalia; Primates; Hominidae
Description: lncRNA (ENSGGOG00000044558.1)
Source: RNAcentral
CUGCCAGCAGGGCAAAGGAAAAGGACACUAACUUUGAGCGCUUGUCUCAGAUCUCAUGUCAAUCCUGCAAGAUAUUGGAAUAUUCUUCAUAUAAUGCAGUAUCACUUCUGUAUGAAGCCACGUGUAACUUGUCCCCCUCCUUUCCAUCACGAGAACUACUGAAGAUGUAAACCAAAUCCAGCAGGGAAACCAGUGACAUUUGUGAACAGUAGACGGGAUUAAAGGAGCUGGACACACUCUUUCUUCAACAUCUGCCAUGAUAUGAUUUCACAAGCAAGAAACGUGCCAAGGCUUCUACCCAAGUAAGCUAUUAUUCAUUUAUUUCAUUGUUGAGGAAUGCCUUAAUAUGACUAGGAUAGAAAAAUUAUGUUGAUGUGCUUAUACAAGA